GUGCAUACCCGGGGGUGCUGUCAACUGCCGACGAUGGUUGUGCAUUCCCUGGGGUGCUGUCAAUUGGCGACGAUGGUUGUGCAUUUCCGGGGGUGCUGUCAAUUGGCGACGAUAGUUGUGCAUUCCCUGGGGUGCUGUCAACUGGCGAAGACGGUUGUGGAUUCCCGGGGGUGCGGUCAACUGGCGAUGAUGGUUGUGCAUUCCCGGGGGUGCUCUCAACUGGCGACGAUGGUUGUGCAUUCCCUGGGGUGCUGUCAACUGACGACGAUGGUUGUGCAUUCCCGGGGGUGCUGUCAACUGGCGACGAUGGUUGUACAUUCGCAGGGGUGCUGCCAAUUGGCGACGAUAGGUUUGCGUUCGCGGGGGUGCUCUCAACUGGCGACGAUAGUUGUGCAAUUCCAGGGGUGCUAUCAAUUGGCGACGAUGGUUGUGCAUUCCCAGGUGUGCUAUCAAUUGGCGAUGAUGGAUGUGCAUUCGCGGGGGUGCUGCCAAUUGGCGACGAAGGUUGUGCAUUCGCGGGGGUGCUGCCAAUUGGUGACGAAGGUUGUGCAUUGGCGGGGGUGCUCUCAACAGACGUCGAUUUUGCCCAAAGCCCAGUUGUGGACGGAAUGAUAUGGGCGGGAGUGCCAUGGGGAAUGGCAUUGACCGGUGUGACGAAUCUUGUGGCGAGAAUUCGACCUUCGGCCGCACG
This 691-nucleotide long non-coding RNA is filed under the name Physcomitrium patens. RNAcentral describes it as "long non-coding RNA (PPAT_LNC005703)". The record is from RNAcentral. Lineage: Eukaryota; Viridiplantae; Streptophyta; Bryopsida; Funariales; Funariaceae.